Molecule: small nucleolar RNA, 103 nt
Organism: Loxodonta africana (African savanna elephant)
Lineage: Eukaryota; Metazoa; Chordata; Mammalia; Proboscidea; Elephantidae
Rfam family: Small nucleolar RNA U13
Source: Rfam
AUUGGUUUCCGUUUGCAAGUGUGAUGAUUGGGUUUUCACACCUUCCUGUAACACGUGCCUCCCUCAAACCUUGUUACAACAUCAGCUUAUUACCCACCUGAUG